GCAAACUUGGUCAUUUAGAGGAAGUAAAAGUCGUAACAAGGUCUCCGUAGGUGAACCUGCGGAGGGAUCAUUAACGAAUGGUCAUCCUUGAUCUUCUUACCCUCAAACCACUGUGGAACAAAACAUGUGCUUCGGCGUCUAAUUGGCGUCGCUUUUAUGCUUCAACAAUGCCCUUUGUGUCUGACAAAUCAAAACAUCAAAACUUUCAACAAAGGAUCUCUUGGCUCUCGCAUCGAUGAAGAACGCAGC
Molecule: unclassified non-coding RNA, 249 nt
Filed under: uncultured fungus
Lineage: Eukaryota; Fungi
Description: partial contains small subunit ribosomal RNA, internal transcribed spacer 1, and 5.8S ribosomal RNA
Rfam family: Eukaryotic small subunit ribosomal RNA (bases 1-73)
Source: RNAcentral